AUUGAACGCUGGCGGCAUGCCUUACACAUGCAAGUCGAACGGUAACAGGUCUUCGGAUGCUGACGAGUGGCGAACGGGUGAGUAAUACAUCGGAACGUGCCUAGUAGUGGGGGAUAACUACUCGAAAGAGUGGCUAAUACCGCAUGAGAUCUACGGAUGAAAGCAGGGGAUCGCAAGACCUUGUGCUACUAGAGCGGCCGAUGGCAGAUUAGGUAGGUGGUGGGAUAAAAGCUUACCAGGCCGACGAUCUGUAGCUGGUCUGAGAGGACGAUCAGCCACACUGGGACUGAGACACGGCCCAGACUCCUACGGGAGGCAGCAGUGGGGAAUUUUGGACAAUGGGCGCAAGCCUGAUCCAGCAAUGCCGCGUGCAGGAUGAAGGCCUUCGGGUUGUAAACUGCUUUUGUACGGAGCGAAAAGCCCUGGGUUAAUACCCUGGGGUCAUGACGGUACCGUAAGAAUAAGCACCGGCUAACUACGUGCCAGCCGCCGCCGUAA
Molecule: ribosomal RNA, 498 nt
Filed under: uncultured bacterium
Lineage: Bacteria
Description: partial 16S ribosomal RNA
Rfam family: Bacterial small subunit ribosomal RNA
Source: RNAcentral